UUAAAGUUGAGGCGCUGACAGAUGGAUGUGCGUCUGAUUAGCUAGUUGGUAGGGUAACGGCCUACCAAGGCGACGAUCAGUAGGGGGCGUGAGAGCGUGGUCCCCCACACGGGUACUGAGACACGGACCCGACUCCUACGGGAGGCAGCAGUAAGGAAUAUUCGGUCAAUGCCCGCAAGGGUGAACCAGCCAUUCCGCGUGGAGGAUGAAAGGCCCUAUGGGUUGUAAACUUCUUUUAGAAUGGGAAGAAAAUGCUAGAUGUAUCUGGUACUGACGGUACCAUCAGAAUAAGCACCGGCUAACUCCGUG
Molecule: ribosomal RNA, 309 nt
Filed under: uncultured bacterium
Lineage: Bacteria
Description: bacterial SSU rRNA
Rfam family: Bacterial small subunit ribosomal RNA
Source: RNAcentral